UGCUUAUCUUACUUGCCAAUUAGUGGGGGAUAACUCUGGUGCGCCAGAACUAAUACCGCAUUUGUUGCUUCGGCAAUGAAAGGGAAUCGCAAGAUUUUCGCUAAUUGAUAGGGAUAAGUCGUAUUAGUUUGUUGGUGGGGUAAUGGCCUACCAAGACGAUGAUGCGUAGCCGGGCUGAGAGGCUGAUCGGCCACAAGGGAACUGAGACACGGUCCCUACUCCUACGGGAGGCAGCAGUGAGGAAUUUUCGGCAAUGGGGGAAACCCUGACCGAGCAAUACUACGUGAAGGAGGAAGGUCUACGGAUUGUAAACUUCUGUUAGUGCGGAAGAAGGGCUGAAUGCAAGUUCAGCCUUGACGGUACGCACAGAGAAAGCCACGACUAACUACGUGCCAGCAGUCGCGGUAAGACGUAGGUGGCGAACGUUAUCCGGAAUUAUUGGGCGUAAAGGGUGCGUAGGCGGCGGAAUAAGUUAGUGGUGGAAAAUCGGGGCUCAACCUCGUGGAAGUCAUUAAUACUGUUUUGCUAGAGGACAGGAGAGGUUAACGGAAUUCCCUGUGGAGCGGUAAAAUGUGUAGAUAUAGGGAAGAACACCAAUAAGGCGAAGGCAGUUAACUAUUCUGUUCCUGACGUUGAGGCACGAAAGCGUGGGGAGCAAAUAGGAUUAGAUACCCUAGUAGUCCACGCCCUAAACGAUGAGUGCUAGACAUUGGAAACUUGAUUUUCAGUGUCGCUAGAUAACUCGGUAAGCACUCCGCCUGGGUAGUACGCUCGCAAGAGUGAAACUCAAAGGAAUUGACGGGGACUCGCACAAGCACUGGAGCAUGUGGUUUAAUCCGAUGCAACGCGUAGAACCUUACCAAGGCUUGACAUGUUUGGCAAAACUGUGGAAACACAGCGGAGGUUAUCCAAACACAGGUGCUGCAUGGCCGUCGUCAGUUCGUGCCGUGAGGUGUAUGGUUAAGUCCUAUAACGAACGCAACCCUUGGGCUUAGUUGCCAGCAUUCAGUUGGGGACUCUAGGCCGACUGCCUGAGUAAUCAGGAGGAAGGAAAGGAU
Molecule: ribosomal RNA, 1058 nt
Filed under: Candidatus Moeniiplasma glomeromycotorum
Lineage: Bacteria; Bacillati; Mycoplasmatota; Mollicutes; Mycoplasmatales; Mycoplasmataceae
Description: bacterial SSU rRNA
Rfam family: Bacterial small subunit ribosomal RNA
Source: RNAcentral